GCCGAUCCCACCUCCCCAAAAUUGAAUCCCAAUGAAGAUUCCUGCCAGACAAAAGCUGCCAGCACAGAAAGCUCUUGCUGCCCAACAAGUGCCCAGGCUGCCCCAACAACUGCACCUGAAGCCAAAGGAUCCAGACUUUCUUUCCUAAGGGAAAGGGCUGCUAAUUCCCUUUUUUUAGCCGUCCUGCAUAGGCCAAACUAACUUCC
Molecule: long non-coding RNA, 206 nt
Organism: Chiroxiphia lanceolata (lance-tailed manakin)
Lineage: Eukaryota; Metazoa; Chordata; Aves; Passeriformes; Pipridae
Exons: 2
Source: RefSeq, a predicted model, not a curated record